Molecule: non-coding RNA, 1787 nt
Organism: Monodelphis domestica (gray short-tailed opossum)
Lineage: Eukaryota; Metazoa; Chordata; Mammalia; Didelphimorphia; Didelphidae
Source: RefSeq, a predicted model, not a curated record
CAAGUGACCUCACAAGGCAGCAGGACACUAUAAAACAAAACAAAAAGAAUGAAAAAAUUGAGGAAAAUGUGAAGCAUCUCAUUCACAAAAUAGACGAUUUAGAAAAUCAUUCAAGAAGAGACAAUUUAAGAAUAACUGGACUACCAGAAGACCAUGACAAAAGAAAAAGCCUGGACAUAAUACUAGAGGAAAUUAUCCAGGAAAACUGUUCCGAGAUCCUAGAACAAGAAGGGAAAGUAGAGAUUGAAAGAAUCCACAGAUCACUCCCUGUAUUUAAUCCCCAACUGACAACACCAAGAAAUGUUAUAGCCAAAUUCAAAAACAAUCAGAUGAAAGAACAGAUAUUACAAGCAGCCAAGAAAAAGCCAUUCAGAUACCAAACACGGUGAGGUUAACACAGGAUCUGGCUGCAUCCACACUGAAGGACCAAAAGGCAUUGAAUACGAUAUUCUGGAAAGCAAGGGAACUAGGUCUACAAUCAAGAAUAAAAUACCCAUCAAAACUGACUAUAUUCUUACAGGGGAAAGUAUGGUCAUUCAACACAACAGAAGAGUUCCAAGCAUUCAUAAAGAAAAGACAAGACCUGAACAGAAAAUUUGAUGUCCAACCACAGAACUCAAGAGAAUCAUCAAAAGGGCAGAGGAAGGAGGACAAUUGUUCUGUCUGCGCACUGUUGAAGAGGACAAGAGAAGUUCCAAAGCAAGUCUACUCUACUCAUAUAUACUAAAUCAAGUUUUUUCUUCAAAUAUGAGCCUUGGAGCUUUAUGGUCUAUUCUCUAUAACUUCCAAUUCCAGACCUCUCAGCACCCACAAGAGACUCAUUCAUGACUUCCUCAAUCAUACUUCUAUCUAUAGAUUCAUAGUCACAAGGCAGGCAAGCAUCUUAUUUGAAGCAGAAGAGUAUCCUAAGGUGGAGACAAGAGGCAGCAUGGACCAGGCAAGUCUUACCACAACCAACAUUUUGGCUACCAUCUCUCCUAGGAAUCUGUCUUAUGGAGACAGCUCAAGCUCCUAAACCCAAUAGGGUUUAUUACCCAAAUGCUUGGGAAUAGUCAAAUGCCAAACACCGAAGCCUGCUUCCAGUUCAGCCCCUCACAGCAAUCAGUAAGGGGAGAAAUCAUUUCAGAAGUAGUUCACUUUCCUAAUCACUACCAAUAACCACUAACCAACUACUAUCAACAAGAAAAUGGGCAACAAGAGCCCUGGGAGUGACAGCCCACCUUGGAUCACUGGUUUUAUUUCUAGCCCAUUCCUACAACCAUUACCUGAGGAGGCACCUCCUGCCAAGGGGCCAGCUAUCCCCAGGAAAUGAAAACCAAAUGUCACUGACAGAAAAGGCAAGCAAAGGCACCUAAAGUAGCAAGGCACUCUGGGAGAGGGAGGAGGUGGCCAGUGCUGGGCAUAUCAAACUAUCAUGACUGAUCCUUGGACCUUAAAGGCCCAGGGCCUUGAAUUCAAGAACCUUUGGAAAAGUAAUGCUUCCAAACCAGUGACAAAUGGUCAAACAUUAGAAACUGAUAGGAUUUUAUCAGUGAAAAUGGCAUUAAAAGAGAAGCAUUAUCACUUGAUUUGAUAGUGCCCUAAGGACCACUGGUCUUUUCAUUUAAUUGGCAGAUCCCACUUCCCAUAGGUGCUAUAUUUGCCCUUUACAAAAACAGAAUCUCCUUGAGUGCAGGGCCUGCUUUUUCUGUGUGGUAUACCUAUGUUUAGUGCAAUGCUUUAUACUUGGUUUAAUGAGUGCUAUACAAAUAAGUGUGUGUAGUAAUAAAUACUUCAUAAAUGUUUCA